UACGUAGGGUGCGAGCGUUAAUCGGAAUUACUGGGCGUAAAGCGUGCGCAGGCGGUUCUCCAAGUCCGUUGUGAAAGCCCCGGGCUCAACCUGGGAAUGGCAGUGGAAACUAGGGGACUGGAAUCUGGCAGAGGGGGGUGGAAUUCCACGUGUAGCAGUGAAAUGCGUAGAGAUGUGGAGGAACACCGAUGGCGAAGGCAGCCCCCUGGGUCAAGAUUGACGCUCAUGCACGAAAGCGUGGGGAGCAAACAGG
Molecule: ribosomal RNA, 253 nt
Filed under: uncultured bacterium
Lineage: Bacteria
Description: partial 16S ribosomal RNA
Rfam family: Bacterial small subunit ribosomal RNA
Source: RNAcentral